AAAAGAAACCAACAGGGAUUGCCUCAGUAACGGCGAGUGAAGCGGCAAAAGCUCAAAUUUGAAAUCUAGCACCUUCGGUGUUCGAGUUGUAAUUUGAAGAUGGUAACCUUGGGUUUGGCUCUUGUCUAUGUUCCUUGGAACAGGACGUCAUAGAGGGUGAGAAUCCCGUCUGAUGAGAUGCCCAUUCCUAUGUAAGGUGCUAUCGAAGAGUCGAGUUGUUUGGGAAUGCAGCUCUAAGUGGGUGGUAAAUUCCAUCUAAAGCUAAAUAUUGGCGAGAGACCGAUAGCGAACAAGUACAGUGAUGGAAAGAUGAAAAGAACUUUGAAAAGAGAGUGAAAAAGUACGUGAAAUUGUUGAAAGGGAAGGGCAUUAGAUCAGACUUGGUGUUUUACGAUUAUCUUCUCUUCUUGAGUUGUGCACUCGUAUUUCACUGGGCCAGCAUCGAUUCGGAUGGCAAGAUAAUGGCAGUUGAAUGUGGCUUCACUUCGGUGGAGUGUUAUAGCUUCUGCUGAUAUUGCCUGUCUGGAUCGAGGGCUGCGUCUUUUGACUAGGAUGCUGGCGUAAUG
RNAcentral lists this ribosomal RNA (566 nucleotides) under Hansenula anomala. RNAcentral describes it as "LSU rRNA". It matches the Rfam family "Eukaryotic large subunit ribosomal RNA", at positions 57 to 636 of the family's 3401-position model. The record is from RNAcentral. Lineage: Eukaryota; Fungi; Ascomycota; Saccharomycetes; Phaffomycetales; Wickerhamomycetaceae.